Molecule: ribosomal RNA, 1017 nt
Filed under: uncultured organism
Description: bacterial SSU rRNA
Rfam family: Bacterial small subunit ribosomal RNA
Source: RNAcentral
GAGGAAUAUUGGUCAAUGGACGAGAGUCUGAACCAGCCAAGUAGCGUGAAGGAUGACUGCCCUAUGGGUUGUAAACUUCUUUUAUACGGGAAUAAAGUUAGCCACGUGUGGCUUUUUGUAUGUACCGUGUGAAUAAGGAUCGGCUAACUCCGUGCCAGCAGCCGCGGUAAUACGGAGGAUCCGAGCGUUAUCCGGAUUUAUUGGGUUUAAAGGGAGCGUAGGCGGGUUGUUAAGUCAGUUGUGAAAGUUUGCGGCUCAACCGUAAAAUUGCAGUUGAUACUGGCGACCUUGAGUGCAACAGAGGUAGGCGGAAUUCGUGGUGUAGCGGUGAAAUGCUUAGAUAUCACGAAGAACUCCGAUUGCGAAGGCAGCUUACUGGAUUGUAACUGACGCUGAUGCUCGAAAGUGUGGGUAUCAAACAGGAUUAGAUACCCUGGUAGUCCACACAGUAAACGAUGAAUACUCGCUGUUGGCGAUAUACGGUCAGCGGCCAAGCGAAAGCAUUAAGUAUUCCACCUGGGGAGUACGCCGGCAACGGUGAAACUCAAAGGAAUUGACGGGGGCCCGCACAAGCGGAGGAACAUGUGGUUUAAUUCGAUGAUACGCGAGGAACCUUACCCGGGCUUGAAUUGCAACUGAAUGAUGUGGAGACAUGUCAGCCGCAAGGCAGUUGUGAAGGUGCUGCAUGGUUGUCGUCAGCUCGUGCCGUGAGGUGUCGGCUUAAGUGCCAUAACGAGCGCAACCCUUAUCGAUAGUUACCAUCAGGUUAUGCUGGGGACUCUGUCGAGACUGCCGUCGUAAGAUGUGAGGAAGGUGGGGAUGACGUCAAAUCAGCACGGCCCUUACGUCCGGGGCUACACACGUGUUACAAUGGGGGGUACAGAAGGCAGCUACACGGCGACGUGAUGCUAAUCCCGAAAGCCUCUCUCAGUUCGGAUUGGAGUCUGCAACCCGACUCCAUGAAGCUGGAUUCGCUAGUAAUCGCGCAUCAGCCACGGCGCGGUGAAUACGUUCCCG